Molecule: ribosomal RNA, 481 nt
Filed under: uncultured bacterium
Lineage: Bacteria
Description: partial 16S ribosomal RNA
Rfam family: Bacterial small subunit ribosomal RNA
Source: RNAcentral
UGAACGCUGGCGGCAGGCCUCACACAUGCAAGUCGAGCGGAUGAAGGGAGCUUGCUCCUGGAUUCAGCGGCGGACGGGUGAGUAAUGCCUAGGAAUCUGCCUGGUAGUGGGGGAUAACGUCCGGAAACGGGCGCUAAUACCGCAUACGUCCUGAGGGAGAAAGUGGGGGAUCUUCGGACCUCACGCUAUCAGAUGAGCCUAGGUCGGAUUAGCUAGUUGGUGGGGUAAAGGCCUACCAAGGCGACGAUCCGUAACUGGUCUGAGAGGAUGAUCAGUCACACUGGAACUGAGACACGGUCCAGACUCCUACGGAGGCAGCAGUGGGGAAUAUUGGACAAUGGGCGAAAGCCUGAUCCAGCCAUGCCGCGUGUGUGAAGAAGGUCUUCGGAUUGUAAAGCACUUUAAGUUGGGAGGAAGGGCAGUAAGUUAAUACCUUGCUGUUUUGACGUUACCAACAGAAUAAGCACCGGCUAACUUCGUG